Schistosoma mansoni is the source of this 237-nucleotide non-coding RNA. The record is from Rfam. NCBI's taxonomy places the organism in Eukaryota, Metazoa, Platyhelminthes, Trematoda, Strigeidida, Schistosomatidae.
UGGACGGCCAUUCUUAGUUGGUGGAGCGAUUUGUCUGAUUGAUUCCGAUAACGAAUGAGACUUUUACCUGCUAAAUAGUAGACUGGUCUUUUGUGCUCGUUUAGGGCGUGGAUUCUAUUGCUUCUUCAUGGAGUAGUAAGGUCGUGAUCCUGUAGGUGUGGUGACAGUUUUGAAUUCUUAAAGGGACAAGUGGCACGUUUAAGUUGCAUGAAAUUGAGCAAUAACAGGUCUGUGAUG